RNAcentral lists this ribosomal RNA (375 nucleotides) under uncultured bacterium. RNAcentral's name for it is "partial 16S ribosomal RNA". It matches the Rfam family "Bacterial small subunit ribosomal RNA", at positions 338 to 710 of the family's 1533-position model. The record is from RNAcentral.
CCUACGGGAGGCAGCAGUGAGGAAUAUUGGUCAAUGGGCUUACGCCUGAACCAGCCAAGUCGCGUGAGGGAAGACUGCCCUAUGGGUUGUAAACUUCUUUUGUCAGGGAGCAAUUGGCGCUACGUGUAGCGUUAUCGAGAGUACCUGAAGAAAAGGCAUCGGCUAACUCCGUGCCAACGGCCGCGGCAGUACGAAGGUUGCGGGCGUUAUCCGGAGUUAUUGGGUUUAAAGGGUGCGUAGGCGGAAUGCCAAGUCAGCGGGAAAUUCGCGGGGCUAAACCUCGCUCCGCAGUUGAAACUGGCGUUCUUGAGUAGGGGAGAGGUAUGCGGAAUGCGUGGUGUAGCGGUGAAAUGCGUAGAUAUCACGAAGAACUCU